This 211-nucleotide ribosomal RNA is filed under the name uncultured bacterium. Its description in RNAcentral is "partial 16S ribosomal RNA". It matches the Rfam family "Bacterial small subunit ribosomal RNA", at positions 129 to 334 of the family's 1533-position model. The record is from RNAcentral.
CCUGGUAGCGGGGGGUAACUAUUGGAAACGAUAGCUAAUACCGCAUAAUAUUGAUUAUUUGCAUGAUAAUUGAUUGAAAGAUGCUAUUGCAUCACUACCAGAUGGACCUGCGUUGUAUUAGCUAGUAGGUGAGGUAACGGCUCACCUAGGCGACGAUACAUAGCCGACCUGAGAGGGUGAUCGGCCACACUGGGACUGAGACACGGCCCAG